GGCUCAAUGGUCUAGUGGUAUGAUUCUCGCUUUGGGUUAUGACUCGAAUUUGCGAGAGGCCCCGGGUUCGAAUCCCGGUUGAGCCC
RNAcentral lists this transfer RNA (86 nucleotides) under Xylaria intraflava. RNAcentral's name for it is "tRNA-Pro". It matches the Rfam family "tRNA". Rfam says of the family: Transfer RNA (tRNA) molecules are approximately 80 nucleotides in length. Their secondary structure includes four short double-helical elements and three loops (D, anti-codon, and T loops). Further hydrogen bonds mediate the characteristic L-shaped molecular structure. tRNAs have two regions of fundamental functional importance: the anti-codon, which is responsible for specific mRNA codon recognition, and the 3' end, to which the tRNAs corresponding amino acid is attached (by aminoacyl-tRNA synthetases). tRNAs cope with the degeneracy of the genetic code in two manners: having more than one tRNA (with a specific anti-codon) for a particular amino acid; and 'wobble' base-pairing, i.e. permitting non-standard base-pairing at the 3rd anti-codon position. The record is from RNAcentral. Lineage: Eukaryota; Fungi; Ascomycota; Sordariomycetes; Xylariales; Xylariaceae.